This 272-nucleotide ribosomal RNA is filed under the name uncultured prokaryote. Its description in RNAcentral is "partial 16S ribosomal RNA". It matches the Rfam family "Bacterial small subunit ribosomal RNA", at positions 524 to 794 of the family's 1533-position model. The record is from RNAcentral.
UACGUAGGGGGCAAGCGUUGUCCGGAAUUACUGGGCGUAAAGGGUGCGUAGGCGGCCUAAUAAGUCAGAUGUGAAAUACCGAGGCUCAACCUCGGAGGUGCAUUUGAAACUGUUGGGCUUGAGUGCAGGAGAGGAAAGUGGAAUUCCUAGUGUAGCGGUGAAAUGCGUAGAGAUUAGGAGGAACACCAGUGGCGAAGGCGACUUUCUGGACUGUAACUGACGCUGAGGCACGAAAGCGUGGGGAGGCAAACAGGAUUAGAUACCCUGGUAGU